UCUCUGAUAGUCCAGUGGUUAGGACUCUGCACUUUCACUGCAGAGGUCAGGGGUUCGAUCCUUGGUCAGGGAA
Molecule: transfer RNA, 73 nt
Filed under: Ovis aries (sheep)
Lineage: Eukaryota; Metazoa; Chordata; Mammalia; Artiodactyla; Bovidae
Rfam family: tRNA
About the family: Transfer RNA (tRNA) molecules are approximately 80 nucleotides in length. Their secondary structure includes four short double-helical elements and three loops (D, anti-codon, and T loops). Further hydrogen bonds mediate the characteristic L-shaped molecular structure. tRNAs have two regions of fundamental functional importance: the anti-codon, which is responsible for specific mRNA codon recognition, and the 3' end, to which the tRNAs corresponding amino acid is attached (by aminoacyl-tRNA synthetases). tRNAs cope with the degeneracy of the genetic code in two manners: having more than one tRNA (with a specific anti-codon) for a particular amino acid; and 'wobble' base-pairing, i.e. permitting non-standard base-pairing at the 3rd anti-codon position.
Source: Rfam by way of RNAcentral